UACGUAGGGUGCAAGCGUUGUCCGGAAUUAUUGGGCGUAAAGAGCUCGUAGGCGGCUCGUUGCGUCGGCUGUGAAAAACCCGCAGCUCAACUGUGGGCUUGCAGCCGAUACGGGCGGGCUAGGAUUCGGUAGGGGAGACUGGAAUUCCUGGUGUAGCGGUGAAAUGCGCAGAUAUCAGGAGGAACACCGGUGGCGAAGGCGGCCUUCUGGACAGUGACUGACGCUGAGACGCGAAAGCGUGGGGAGCAAACAGG
RNAcentral lists this ribosomal RNA (254 nucleotides) under uncultured bacterium. RNAcentral describes it as "partial 16S ribosomal RNA". It matches the Rfam family "Bacterial small subunit ribosomal RNA", at positions 524 to 776 of the family's 1533-position model. The record is from RNAcentral.